ACCCAUGUCUUUUGAGUACUUACGUUUCCUCGGCGGGUCCGCCCGCCGAUUGGACAAUUUAAACCAUUUGCAGUUGCAAUCAGCGUCUGAAAAACUUUAAUAGUUACAACUUUCAACAACGGAUCUCUUGGUUCUGGCAUCGAUGAAGAACGCAGCGAAAUGCGAUAAGUAGUGUGAAUUGCAGAAUUCAGUGAAUCAUCGAAUCUUUGAACGCACAUUGCGCCCCUUGGUAUUCCAUGGGGCAUGCCUGUUCGAGCGUCAUUUGUACCUUCAAGCUUUGCUUGGUGUUGGUGUUUGUCUCGCCUCUGCGUGUAGACUCGCCUUAAAACAAUUGGCAGCCGGCGUAUUGAUUUCGGAGCGCAGUACAUCUCGCGCUUUGCACUCAUAACGACGACGUCCAAAAGUACAUUUUUACACUCUUGACCUCGGAUCAGGUAGG
RNAcentral lists this ribosomal RNA (439 nucleotides) under Leptosphaerulina australis. Its description in RNAcentral is "eukaryotic LSU rRNA". The stretch from base 108 to 261 matches the Rfam family "5.8S ribosomal RNA". The record is from RNAcentral. Lineage: Eukaryota; Fungi; Ascomycota; Dothideomycetes; Pleosporales; Didymellaceae.